RNAcentral lists this ribosomal RNA (2614 nucleotides) under Escherichia coli. RNAcentral's name for it is "partial 23S ribosomal RNA". It matches the Rfam family "Bacterial large subunit ribosomal RNA". Lineage: Bacteria; Pseudomonadati; Pseudomonadota; Gammaproteobacteria; Enterobacterales; Enterobacteriaceae. The record is from RNAcentral.
GGUUAAGCGACUAAGCGUACACGGUGGAUGCCCUGGCAGUCAGAGGCGAUGAAGGACGUGCUAAUCUGCGAUAAGCGUCGGUAAGGUGAUAUGAACCGUUAUAACCGGCGAUUUCCGAAUGGGGAAACCCAGUGUGAUUCGUCACACUAUCAUUAACUGAAUCCAUAGGUUAAUGAGGCGAACCGGGGGAACUGAAACAUCUAAGUACCCCGAGGAAAAGAAAUCAACCGAGAUUCCCCCAGUAGCGGCGAGCGAACGGGGAGCAGCCCAGAGCCUGAAUCAGUGUGUGUGUUAGUGGAAGCGUCUGGAAAGGCGCGCGAUACAGGGUGACAGCCCCGUACACAAAAAUGCACAUACUGUGAGCUCGAUGAGUAGGGCGGGACACGUGGUAUCCUGUCUGAAUAUGGGGGGACCAUCCUCCAAGGCUAAAUACUCCUGACUGACCGAUAGUGAACCAGUACCGUGAGGGAAAGGCGAAAAGAACCCCGGCGAGGGGAGUGAAAAAGAACCUGAAACCGUGUACGUACAAGCAGUGGGAGCACGCUUAGGCGUGUGACUGCGUACCUUUUGUAUAAUGGGUCAGCGACUUAUAUUCUGUAGCAAGGUUAACCGAAUAGGGGAGCCGAAGGGAAACCGAGUCUUAACUGGGCGUUAAGUUGCAGGGUAUAGACCCGAAACCCGGUGAUCUAGCCAUGGGCAGGUUGAAGGUUGGGUAACACUAACUGGAGGACCGAACCGACUAAUGUUGAAAAAUUAGCGGAUGACUUGUGGCUGGGGGUGAAAGGCCAAUCAAACCGGGAGAUAGCUGGUUCUCCCCGAAAGCUAUUUAGGUAGCGCCUCGUGAAUUCAUCUCCGGGGGUAGAGCACUGUUUCGGCAAGGGGGUCAUCCCGACUUACCAACCCGAUGCAAACUGCGAAUACCGGAGAAUGUUAUCACGGGAGACACACGGCGGGUGCUAACGUCCGUCGUGAAGAGGGAAACAACCCAGACCGCCAGCUAAGGUCCCAAAGUCAUGGUUAAGUGGGAAACGAUGUGGGAAGGCCCAGACAGCCAGGAUGUUGGCUUAGAAGCAGCCAUCAUUUAAAGAAAGCGUAAUAGCUCACUGGUCGAGUCGGCCUGCGCGGAAGAUGUAACGGGGCUAAACCAUGCACCGAAGCUGCGGCAGCGACGCUUAUGCGUUGUUGGGUAGGGGAGCGUUCUGUAAGCCUGUGAAGGUGUACUGUGAGGUAUGCUGGAGGUAUCAGAAGUGCGAAUGCUGACAUAAGUAACGAUAAAGCGGGUGAAAAGCCCGCUCGCCGGAAGACCAAGGGUUCCUGUCCAACGUUAAUCGGGGCAGGGUGAGUCGACCCCUAAGGCGAGGCCGAAAGGCGUAGUCGAUGGGAAACAGGUUAAUAUUCCUGUACUUGGUGUUACUGCGAAGGGGGGACGGAGAAGGCUAUGUUGGCCGGGCGACGGUUGUCCCGGUUUAAGCGUGUAGGCUGGUUUUCCAGGCAAAUCCGGAAAAUCAAGGCUGAGGCGUGAUGACGAGGCACUACGGUGCUGAAGCAACAAAUGCCCUGCUUCCAGGAAAAGCCUCUAAGCAUCAGGUAACAUCAAAUCGUACCCCAAACCGACACAGGUGGUCAGGUAGAGAAUACCAAGGCGCUUGAGAGAACUCGGGUGAAGGAACUAGGCAAAAUGGUGCCGUAACUUCGGGAGAAGGCACGCUGAUAUGUAGGUGAAGUGAUUUACUCAUGGAGCUGAAAUCAGUCGAAGAUACCAGCUGGCUGCAACUGUUUAUUAAAAACACAGCACUGUGCAAACACGAAAGUGGACGUAUACGGUGUGACGCCUGCCCGGUGCCGGAAGGUUAAUUGAUGGGGUCAGCGCAAGCGAAGCUCUUGAUCGAAGCCCCGGUAAACGGCGGCCGUAACUAUAACGGUCCUAAGGUAGCGAAAUUCCUUGUCGGGUAAGUUCCGACCUGCACGAAUGGCGUAAUGAUGGCCAGGCUGUCUCCACCCGAGACUCAGUGAAAUUGAACUCGCUGUGAAGAUGCAGUGUACCCGCGGCAAGACGGAAAGACCCCGUGAACCUUUACUAUAGCUUGACACUGAACAUUGAGCCUUGAUGUGUAGGAUAGGUGGGAGGCUUUGAAGUGUGGACGCCAGUCUGCAUGGAGCCGACCUUGAAAUACCACCCUUUAAUGUUUGAUGUUCUAACGUGGACCCGUAAUCCGGGUUGCGGACAGUGUCUGGUGGGUAGUUUGACUGGGGCGGUCUCCUCCUAAAGAGUAACGGAGGAGCACGAAGGUUGGCUAAUCCUGGUCGGACAUCAGGAGGUUAGUGCAAUGGCAUAAGCCAGCUUGACUGCGAGCGUGACGGCGCGAGCAGGUGCGAAAGCAGGUCAUAGUGAUCCGGUGGUUCUGAAUGGAAGGGCCAUCGCUCAACGGAUAAAAGGUACUCCGGGGAUAACAGGCUGAUACCGCCCAAGAGUUCAUAUCGACGGCGGUGUUUGGCACCUCGAUGUCGGCUCAUCACAUCCUGGGGCUGAAGUAGGUCCCAAGGGUAUGGCUGUUCGCCAUUUAAAGUGGUACGCGAGCUGGGUUUAGAACGUCGUGAGACAGUUCGGUCCCUA